UCGCCCUCUCUUCGGCUUCCAGGUCAGUGGUGGAAAAAUACUCGGCUCAUCUGGGUUGCUUGUUUUUCUCUUGAAGCCGCCAUGGAUGCUUGGGACCUACUGAGGCUACUGUUGCCCCUUAAGAGAGCCACAAGCCAUCUGAGCGGGGCUGAUCACGAACACCGGUCACGUGCUGGCCCGAACCAUCAUGUUUUCUGUACCUUUGCUCAACACCUACUCCCUUGUUCACUAAAAGACUUGGGUAUCACCACAGACACCAAGGACCCGGAAGCAGACAAAGCGAAUCUGUGCCUGUAAGAUAGAAAUAUGGGAUCAUCACGUUCCUGGCGAAAUUCGUUCCUAUUAAAGGGACCACAUGGUGCUAAAGAGUCGGCAAGGUAGACAGAUCAUCAGCCGGAACUUCAGGGUUGUGGAGAGUUGGAAUGUCACAAUGUCACAGGUCCAGAGUCGAAUCACCUUGGGAUGUUGUUAGUCCCUUUCUUGCCCACCUCUGGGUCUGCCCUGACAUCCUUUUAACCAUCAGACUAAACCUUUGUGAUGUAUUAACAGACUGCUAGCUUUCCCCAAACCCAGUGCUAAUAAUGUCAUCAGAUAGCAGAGACUCACCGCUUUGUAACCCGCCUACCUGAUGCCCCCAUCAAUGUAUUUUUAAAAUGCCUUGAUUUAUGACUUUCUUUGUUCUGUUACUAUAAAAAACCUCCUGAAAUGGUUACCAGUUUAGAACACUGUAUUUGGGGCAACCCAAAUCUGUUCCGAGGCCAUAGACACUCGUAUUUGGCUCUAGAAUAAAGAGAUGAGAGUGG
Molecule: long non-coding RNA, 803 nt
Organism: Mesocricetus auratus (golden hamster)
Lineage: Eukaryota; Metazoa; Chordata; Mammalia; Rodentia; Cricetidae
Exons: 2
Source: RefSeq, a predicted model, not a curated record